RNAcentral lists this ribosomal RNA (158 nucleotides) under Crassiclypeus aquaticus. Its description in RNAcentral is "5.8S ribosomal RNA". It matches the Rfam family "5.8S ribosomal RNA". Rfam says of the family: 5.8S ribosomal RNA (5.8S rRNA) is a component of the large subunit of the eukaryotic ribosome. It is transcribed by RNA polymerase I as part of the 45S precursor that also contains 18S and 28S rRNA. Functionally, it is thought that 5.8S rRNA may be involved in ribosome translocation. Lineage: Eukaryota; Fungi; Ascomycota; Dothideomycetes; Pleosporales; Lophiostomataceae. The record is from RNAcentral.
AAACUUUCAACAAUGGAUCUCUUGGCUCUGGCAUCGAUGAAGAACGCAGCGAAAUGCGAUAAGUAGUGUGAAUUGCAGAAUUCAGUGAAUCAUCGAAUCUUUGAACGCACAUUGCGCCCUUUGGUAUUCCUUAGGGCAUGCCUGUUCGAGCGUUAUUU